ACGUAGGGUGCGAGCGUUAAUCGGAAUUACUGGGCGUAAAGCGUGCGCAGGCGGUCCGUUGUGUCCGAUGUGAAAGCCCCGGGCUUAACCUGGGAAUGGCAUGGGAAACUGGCGGGCUGGAGUGUGGCAGAGGGGGGUGGAAUUCCGCGUGUAGCAGUGAAAUGCGUAGAGAUGCGGAGGAACACCGAUGGCGAAGGCAGCCCUCUGGGCCAACACUGACGCUCAGGCACGAAAGCGUGGGGAGCAAACAGGA
This 253-nucleotide ribosomal RNA is filed under the name uncultured prokaryote. Its description in RNAcentral is "partial 16S ribosomal RNA". It matches the Rfam family "Bacterial small subunit ribosomal RNA", at positions 525 to 777 of the family's 1533-position model. The record is from RNAcentral.